UGACCUCCGCGUGUGUCUGGACAUGACAGGCUUAGCCAGAAUUAUUCUUUUAUCAUUUACCAUUUGCCAAAGCUGCUUCCAUUCAUUGCUCAAACAAGAAUCAAUCUCAUACCACUUCAAUAGUUUAAAAGAUGGCAGAAUUUGUUGGAAGCCGAUAAUACAGAAGCCAUAAUAACCAGAAUUGAACAUAAAUCCCGCAAAAUUGAAAGCUUACUCGGACAGCAGAAACCCGUGAAGGCUUUAAAGACAGCCUUGGAAGGCUCCCCUCCCAAUACCAAAGACGAACGCUUCUGCAAAUUGGAUAGUUGUGCAUAGAGCAAUAAUGGCAAUAAAAGGUGUGGAUAGCUUGUUCUCGUAUCUUGAUCCCCGAGUAUUACGUAUUCUGCAGAAAUUUAUUCCUAAAAAACUCACAAAGGCGUGGACCCACAUGAAUAAACAAUAUCAAAAAAUUAACAAUAAAGUUAUUUGUGACACCCCGGACGACACUCCCCUCACAAGAGAGGGGGGCCCAUACGUAAUAAAAUAAUUGUGGGCUCCCCUCUUGUUAGGGGAGUGUCAUCCGGGGUGUCAACCCCGGAUGUACAAAUAGUGAAGUCUAAAAAUUAACCCCCAUGGUGUCGGUAGGGGUUGUACACCAAUCAUAACUCUUGUCAUAAUUUUCUUGUCUACAAUUCUGUUUUUUUGCAAUAGGAGAUUUCUGUAAAAUGUUUGGGUUUUUCCAGAAGCUGAUUUAAAAGAUCUGUUUUUUCUUCUGUAGUAAUAGCAAAUUUUGACUUUUUAUGAGGAAUUCUUAAGCAGUGGACUUUAUCCUUUUAAUGUUAAUUUUGCAAGAAGGAAGUUUAACAUGUUCAGCUUUUGCAAAAUAACAAUCGAGGCCCUAAAUUUCUCAAUAACAGAGUUUAUCCAUGGUAUAGGCUGUCAUUUGUUCUUGGAAGCUUUUAGUGUUGGACUGUCGCACUUGUGAAGUUGGAGACUAUUGAUUCAUUAGAAAAGUAUCUACUAUUGAUGCAGAAUGUAAAGCAAAAUGAGAACAAUAGAGAAGAAAUAGAGAGGAGAAGGAGAAGAGUCAAAAAGAAUAAAAUAGACAGAAAUUAAAGAGAGAAGAAGAAUUUGGAGUUUUAAUAAUCAAUAAUUUGAUCAUAUUGAAAUCCAAGGUCCCUUUAACAGGGUGAAGUGCUUAAGUCUUACUGAACCUUUAAGUUAUCAAAAUAUAAAAUCUUAGAUAAAUCAAAACUACAGAAACACGAUGUAAAUCAACCUCUACUUUAAAUCCUAUUUCUCCUAACUCAUAUCUUUAUUCCCCAUCACAACGUUUAAGUUGUUUGCGACCCAACAAAAAUCACUGGUUUGGAUACCCCCUCAUUGGGAGCAUGCUUGAAUACUCAUGUUAAUAAGCCUAUAGAAGAUUUGUUUUUCAUUAUUAUUUUCAAUACUAAACAAGUUCAAACCUCAAAGUGAAGACACAAAAAUGUUUUCUAACUUUAGCAUGCUACCUGCAGCCAAGGUAAAACGGGCAAAAACUGGUCUAUGGGUCAAGAAAAGGAAAGGUCUUGCAACAUGACUAGGGUUUAACUUGGAAAAGGACCAAUAAAUUUUUUGAUGAGUGUGGGUGCAACCAUUACUUUUUCAAAAAUGGCCUAUCACUAUUAAAAUAUAGUAAUUCUUCUAAAAUUGAAAGGAUCAGGUUCUACACAACUUGCUUUAUUGGAGAUCUCAUAGAAAAUGUUACCACAUAGAAACCCUUUUACUUAAAGAUUUCAAAUUGUUCGUCCUAAAUUAGAAAUAGAAAAUGGAGAAAAGGUGAUUGUUGAUUUAAUGAACUUGUGAAACUCAUUGAUAAACGAAUAGAGUAAAGGAGAGGCUUGAACUUCUGGCGGUGACGUGUCAAGUAUGAUGUUCACUUUUCAUAAAAUUGAGCAGAAGGGGCCGUGAUGAAAAAAGGAUAUAUCAGCUGACCUUUGACUUCCACACGUGUUCUUUUUUGCAUAAUAUAUUGCAUGAUUUUAUUUCAUCGACGUUUACAGCUGGGAAGAUGUAAAGAAAACUGUUCCAUGUCAUAUCUAGCAUUUCUGAACAAGUGUGCCAAGGGUCACAAUAUUAUAUCAUUAUGUUCUGUUUCAUGGACACCACUCUUCAGUGCGAACAGGACAAGUAUCGCUGAAAGUGUUAUUUUUUUUUGUGAUUGUCAGUGUUGUUUCUAUUAUUUUUGUCAUUUUGGGGAUUUAAACAUAUGGCAGUUAGUUAUAGCUGCAAAUAGGGUAUCAAUCUCUUGGGUUCUGAAUUCUUAGAAAGAACCUAUAUUGAAUUGUAUACGGGAUCCGCUGCGUGCUGAUAUUUUGCACAGCUUGAAUAUAGUAUCUUAUUUACUUGAACCUCAUGAAGACUUUUCGAUAUAUAUGGCACAUUUUAUAUUGUUGAGAAACUGAAUGAUAGAUAAUCAUCUAGCAAAGAUGUGUAUUUAAAAUUUAAUUUGCAUUAUUGCAUCAAAUUAUAUUGUUACAUCGCAUGUACUAAGUCUCCAUAUUACCCAGUUGUACUUUUGAAAUGAAACUCUACCAGAAUCUCAUUUCUGAAAGAAAAACAAAAAGUUAUAUAGGGAUGAAUGACACCUUGAAUAGAGUAACAGAUGAGUUUGAGGGGUCGGGAAAGCCCUGUCUUGAUAUUUUGUCUGAGAAGUCUAUCUGUACUUGUAUGUAUACUUGGAUGUAUUUGUUGAAAAGGUAGAUAGAAUUUUAUUCUGUUUUGAAUUGAAUGUAAGAUCCUAAUUGUUAUUGUAUUGAAGACCUAAUAAACCAUAUUUGAUUUAAUUGUAGGGUCUUCAUUGUAGACACGUGUAUAUUGAAUAAAAUACAAGAUUUCUCUCUGAUUCUCUCUCUCUUCUCCUCUCUUCCCCCUUUCUUCUCUGAUUCUUCUCAGUUCUCAUACAGCUUGUUGCUUGUUUAGUUUGUUGUUAUGAUCAUGUGUUUUCAAAACUAUGAUGAAACUUAACUUUUCAAAAGAAAGAGUGAAGUGCAUUUCUUGUUUUGCCAUACGUUUGAUUAAAAAGAAUAAAGAGGGAGAAGUUUUAGGUUAGUGCAGUGUUUUUGUUUAUUUAUUCUUUUUCUUGAAGCAAAAUGAUAUGCCAUUUGCAGUUUUCAAUUCUCUCUCCCCUUUUGUAUCAACUCAUAAAGACAAAUGAAUUCGAUACGACCUCAUUGUAUUUUAUUACCCAUUCCCCAAUGUUAACCUCUGAUUUCCCUCAGAUGUGCUCCACAGAUAACUCAAACUUUUUGUUACCGCUACCUAUUUGGCACUGGCCUCAUUGCACUGACAUGAAUUUGUUGGAUGCCACUGACUUCCGUUCUCUCCCCUCCCCUUCCCUCACAUCAACCCCCACCCCUCUUCCUCUCUCUUAUUAUGCUCCUUCCAGAGACUAUAAUGUUCUUCCCGUCUCCUUUGGAACUUCGAAAUCCGAAAAUGUCCGAUUAUUUGUUCUGAUGCAGUUGUCAAACAGGGUUAUUCCAUGGGCUGAUUUGUAUAGUUAAUAAAACAUAAAAUCUACUAGCCAAUUAUUACAUCAUUCUUCAAGGACUUGGAAGCUUUUUAUUUUGAGGUCCACUUUGUCUUGUGAGAGGUCAAGAUUCCCCCUUUCUUGGAGAAGAAAAAGGAGGCACCUUGGGAACUAUAAUUCGAAUAGAGGACGCAAUGAUUAUCAGUAGAAUAUAACCAUAUGAGGUGUAAAAUAGAAUAUUCAUGUACUAUACUCUUGUUGAUUUGAGUUUGUAGGUCUUUUACGUCGUAUCUUUCUGAUACGUUAAGCUCUUAUGGCAUAAUGAGCACGUCUAAUUAUUAACUGUGCUUCUAAAGCAUAAUGAUGCCGGCAGAAUGCUGUGUAAAUAACCCGAUGUUGGAAAUACCAGUUUUUUUAUUUGUAUUCUUGAUGAGCUCCGAUGUACAGUAUGCAUAUCUACCUGCUACAUGAUUGAUAGGUAUUUGUAUAGAGGCUUGUCUACUGGAGAUCGACCCACAUGCGACCAAUGCCUGCGAAUUCACGAGAAGCUGGCUGAGAGAGCUGGUUUGGGAUGCAUAUUACGAUCACUUGCAGACACAGUGAACACUGUUUGAUAACCAGUUUAUGAAAUGGAUCCCCAGUUGUUUAUUAUCCCCAUAGACUUGUACACAAAGUGGCACAAGGAACUUGAUUUUAAGCCAUGUCUCUCUCUUAAUUUAGCUAUGAAAUGAUGCUAUCUUUAGAGCC
Molecule: long non-coding RNA, 4237 nt
Organism: Olea europaea var. sylvestris
Lineage: Eukaryota; Viridiplantae; Streptophyta; Magnoliopsida; Lamiales; Oleaceae
Exons: 4
Source: RefSeq, a predicted model, not a curated record